Gorilla gorilla gorilla (western lowland gorilla) is the source of this 103-nucleotide small nucleolar RNA. It matches the Rfam family "Small nucleolar RNA U13". The record is from Rfam. NCBI's taxonomy places the organism in Eukaryota, Metazoa, Chordata, Mammalia, Primates, Hominidae.
AUCCUUUUGUGGUUCAUAGCAUGAUGAUUGGGUGUUCACACGCAUGUGUGAAAUGUGCCAGCCUUGAACCUUGUUACAACAUUGGCACAUGACCCAUCUGACC